GACGAACGCUGGCGGCGUGCUUAACACAUGCAAGUCGAACGGAAAGGCCCUGCUUUUGUGGUGUGCUCGAGUGGCGAACGGGUGAGUAACACGUGAGUAACCUGCCCUUUACUUUGGGAUAACUUCAGGAAACUGGGGCUAAUACCGGAUAGUAGCUCCUGCUGCAUGGUGGGGGUGGGAAAGUUUCGGCGGUUGGGGAUGGAAUCGCGGCUUAUCAGCUUGUUGGUGGGGUAGUGGCUUACCACGGCUUGGACGGGUAGCCGGCCUGAGAGGGUGACCGGCCACAUUGGGACUGAGAUACGGCCCAGAGUCCUACGGGGGGCAGCAGUGGGGAAUAUUGCGCAAUGGGCGGAAGCCUGAUGCAGCGACGCCGCGUGCGGGAUGACGGCCUUCGGGUUGUAAACCGCUUUCGCCUGUGACGAAGCGUGAGUGACGGUAAUGGGUAAAGAAGCACCGGCUAACUACGUG
Molecule: ribosomal RNA, 468 nt
Filed under: uncultured bacterium
Lineage: Bacteria
Description: partial 16S ribosomal RNA
Rfam family: Bacterial small subunit ribosomal RNA
Source: RNAcentral